Molecule: ribosomal RNA, 260 nt
Filed under: uncultured bacterium
Lineage: Bacteria
Description: partial 16S ribosomal RNA
Rfam family: Bacterial small subunit ribosomal RNA
Source: RNAcentral
CGUGGCGGACGGGUGAGUAACGCGUGGGUAACCUGCCAUAUACAGGGGGAUAACACUUAGAAAUAGGUGCUAAUACCGCAUAAGCGCACAGGGGCGCAUGCCCCGGUGUGAAAAACUCCGGUGGUAUAUGAUGGACCCGCGUCUGAUUAGCCAGUUGGCAGGGUAACGGCCUACCAAAGCGACGAUCAGUAGCCAGCCUGAGAGGGCGGACGGCCACAUUGGGACUGAGACACGGCCCAAACUCCUACGGGAGGCAGCAG